This is a long non-coding RNA of Cyprinus carpio carpio, 3721 nucleotides long. Lineage: Eukaryota; Metazoa; Chordata; Actinopteri; Cypriniformes; Cyprinidae. The record is from Ensembl.
AAAAAAAAAUAUUGUUUACAUAUUAUAGAAAAACUAUAUUAAAAAAAACGAAUAAAAGGGAUAGUUCACAUUAAAAAUGAAAAAAGAAAAAAAAUCUAAUAUUUAUAAUAUAAAUUUCACGAUCUUCUCUUAUAACACAAUAAUGGCUUUAAAUUAUCUUUUGUGGGUUAUUUCACAGCCAAAUUUGAUGUGCGAUUAAUAUGUGAUUAAUUAGAUUAUUCAAUUGCCAAACUGUGUAAUUAAUUAGAUAAAAAAAUGUAAACAAUUGACAGCCCUAGUAGAAAUACUCCAAACUCGAUAGUCUUCAGGGACUAAGAUGUAUAAUAAUACAAAAGCAGGACGUCCUAUCAGAAGCCAACAUCUCAGAGAAUUGGUAAUCUUUGCAUUACAGCUGCACUCAUCACAGAGCUUGAUGAAGCACCUCAGUGGGUGAUGGAUGGGCUUCUGUGUUCAGUUUCCCGCGGGAUCGCUGUCUUGGAUGGUGAUGUUGAGUGGUGUCCCUCCACAUCUAUAGGAACAAAUCAUGGCGUCAGGUGGUGUGGCGCUCUCACUCACCCUUGCUCAGCUGAGUCACUCUUACCAUAGCGAAUACCUGCUUUAUAUCUCUCACUGACAGUGAAGAUCAAUAGUGAUGCCUCGCUCGGUGGGUGACGGUUGGGGUCCAAUUCAGCUUCUCGUGGGAGACUAACGCCUCCUGUGCUGUGGUGCAUGAGAAAUAACAACAACAGCAAUAAUAAUACAUUUGCAAAUAAGCUGUGAUGCAGUGACUACCAAUGGGAGAAAAGAAAGUGGUCGGCCACCUGAUACAGCUGGAUAUGGAAGAAGACAAAUAAUAAGAACCAUAAAAGAAUAAGAAUAACAGAAAAAACUAAAAUAAAAAUGUAUAAUUUAAUAGUAAUAGUAAAUAGUAGGCCUUCAUGUAUAAUUAUCAAUUGUGUAAUAAUAAAAUAAGUUUUAUAAUUAUAUGUAUAAUAACUACAAAUAAUUGACUUUUUCAAAAUAAAAAUAAAAAUAGUACAGGAGAUCGCUGGAGACUAGAAGGUGAGUACACAGGAGAUCGCUGGAGACUAGAAGGUGAGUACACAGGAGAUCGCUGGAGACUAGAAGGUGAGUACACAGGAGAUCGCUGGAGACUAGAAGGUGAGUACAGGAGAUCGCUGGAGACUAGAAGGUGAGUACACAGGAGAUCGCUGGAGACUAGAAGGUGAGUACACAGGAAAUCGCUGGAGACUAGAAGGUGAGUACAGGAGAUCGCUGGAGACUAGAAGGUGAGUACACAGGAGAUCGCUGGAGACUAGAAGGUGAGUACAGGAGAUCGCUGGAGACUAGAAGGUGAGUACACAGGGGAUCGCUGGAGACUAGAAGGUGAGUACACAGGGGAUCGCUGGAGACUAGAAGGUGAGUACACAGGAGAUCGCUGGAGACUAGAAGGUGAGUACAGGAGAUCGCUGGAGACUAGAGGGUGAGUACAGGAGAUCGCUGGAGACUAGAAGGUGAGUACACAGGAAAUCGCUGGAGACUAGAGGGUGAGUACAGGAGAUCGCUGGAGACUAGAAGGUGAGUACACAGGAGAUCGCUGGAGACUAGAAGGUGAGUACAGGAGAUCGCUGGAGACUAGAAGGUGAGUACACAGGAGAUCGCUGGAGACUAGAAGGUGAGUACACAGGAGAUCGCUGGAGACUAGAGGGUGAGUACAGGAGAUCGCUGGAGACUAGAAGGUGAAUACACAGGAAAUCGCUGGAGACUAGAGGGUGAGUACAGGAGAUCGCUGGAGACUAGAAGGUGAGUACACAGCGGAUCGCUGGAGACUAGAAGGUGAGUACAGGAGAUCGCUGGAGACUAGAAGGUGAGUACACAGAGGAGACUAGAAGGAGAGUACAGGAGAUCGCUGGAGACACAGAGGUGAGUAUAGAUCACUGGAGACUUAAAAUGGAACAGGUAAGACUUUGAUGAAGGAAAAUCACUUAAGGAUCCUUUACAGGCACAAGGAGUGGUCUAAGAGUCCAUAAGGGUGACCAGGCAAUGGGUGCUUCUCAAAUGGAAGGGCACUUCAUUAUAAGGCUGUAUAUCCAAGCUGCCACAUUAUCAAGCUCCAUCUAAGGAUGUCUCGAUGUUAAGGAUCCUUAGUAGGCAGUCUAAUUUACAAUGGAAGCCUGUGUGGGGCAAGACUUUGCAUUGGAAUAAACAUUUCAAAACCAUAAAACGUAUACAUUAUACAUGUUAACAUAAACUUUAUGAUAAAAUGGUUACUAACCAUAUAAGCAACGUUAUAUUCAUUUUUAACUGCUGUGAUGACAAUGUAAAUCCAGUAAUUUUCGCAUGACACACGUGGAUACUAGAAACGGAAUGUGUGUUAACAGAGCACACUUGGUAAUACUUUAUUUUACAGUGUCAUUUUUACAUGUUAUGUGCAAUUACUAUAGUAUAAUAACAGUAAAUAAUGCAUAACGCCUUGCAACUAAGUCUAAAUCAAAGCCCUAAUCCUUUAGUAAGUACAUGUUGUUAAUUAAAUAUUCCUCAGUGUACUUAAAUGUAAAAAAAGAAAUAAAAAAGAAUCAAUAAAAUAGUUUUAACCAAACUAUGCACUUUUAAAUCUUCUGUAAUCGUGUACUUCAUAGUUGUCUUUCGUAAACUGAUUUCUGUAAACACAUUCUUGUGGAAUUAACGUCUUUAUUAUUUGUCUGCUCUCUUAACAGGGACCUAAGCAGUGCUGAGAUUCUCCAGGAUCAGUACAGUCUGCUUGGAAGACAAACAGCAGUAUACUGGCGCAGUUUGGCCGCAGGUGGACAAAGAUUGCCAAACUAAUCGGCACUAGGACAGUUCUACAGGCGAAGAGCUAUGCUAGGCAGUGCUUCAAAAAUAAGGUAUGACUUUAGACCAUUUCCACAUCACUAUAUGAAUAUCUAUACGCUUUUGGUUCAGAUGUGUGGUGCUUUAAACUGAAUUCAUAUAUAAGAGAAUAAUUAUAAAUAUAGACAUCAAAGGGGGUAUUUUUAAAAUCCUCAAAAAAAUAGCGUCCUAUAAAAGCAUUCUGAAGGUGUUCACUAACAAUAACAAUGUCAGUAACACCCGAUGUACUUGUUACAUCGUAAGAAGAAUGGCAUCUACGCUAAUAUCAGUCUGUCUCAUUCGUAUUCUGAGGUCACUAUAGCCACCCAGAUCCAGUCUGUAUCCAGAUCAGAUGGUCACUGCAGUGGCCCGGAUCCAGUCCAGAUGGUGGAUCAGCACCUAGAGACGACCAGGACAACCCUGAAUGUCAGAAGAGAUCAUGUCAACUAGAAGAGUCCCAAAGACAGAUCCCCAGCGAAAGACCUCGUCAACUAUAGGGCCACUGGCACAAAACCUCAGCAAAGACCAUGAUGAACCACAUCAUAUUCGUCAGUGGAGAAUUGCUCCUCCCCACAGAUUGAGUCUGGUUACUACCAAGGUUUUUUCUCCAUUUCGUAUUGCCUUUGGCUUGCUUAGGUGGGGACACUGCAUUUUUGGGGUUAUUAACGACUUGAUUUCACAGACAAUAUAUGAAGAGAACUGAACUGAGCUGGAUGAUGAUGACAUCAAUGAGUCAACGAUGAACUGACUUUUACUGAAAUAUUGCCUGUUUAUUUUUUUACUUUUUAGAGCUGCUUUACAGCAUAACUGAAUUUUGUUUGCAUUAUCUACACUAUUUUCCUGUUUAACAAUGUAAAGCUGCUAUUACACAAUCUGUUUUGUAUAAAGCACU